CUCAACCGUAAAAUUGCAGUUGAUACUGUCAGUCUUGAGUACAGUAGAGGUGGGCGGAAUUCGUGGUGUAGCGGUGAAAUGCUUAGAUAUCACGAAGAACUCCGAUUGCGAAGGCAGCUCACUGGACUGCAACUGACACUGAUGCUCGAAAGUGUGGGUAUCAAACAGGAUUAGAUACCCUGGUAGUCCACACAGUAAACGAUGAAUACUCGCUGUUUGCGAUAUACAGUAAGCGGCCAAGCGAAAGCAUUAAGUAUUCCACCUGGGGAGUACGCCGGCAACGGUGAAACUCAAAGGAAUUGACGGGGGCCCGCACAAGCGGAGGAACAUGUGGUUUAAUUCGAUGAUACGCGAGGAACCUUACCCGGGCUUAAAUUGCAGUGGAAUGAUGUGGAAACAUGUCAGUGAGCAAUCACCGCUGUGAAGGUGCUGCAUGGUUGUCGUCAGCUCGUGCCGUGAGGUGUCGGCUUAAGUGCCAUAACGAGCGCAACCCUUAUCUUCAGUUACUAACAGGUCAUGCUGAGGACUCUGGAGAGACUGCCGUCGUAAGAUGUGAGGAAGGUGGGGAUGACGUCAAAUCAGCACGGCCCUCACGUCCGGGGCUACACACGUGUUACAAUGGGGGGUACAGAAGGCAGCUAGCGGGUGACCGUAUGCUAAUCCCAAAAUCCUCUCUCAGUUCGGAUCGAAGUCUGCAACCCGACUUCGUGAAGCUGGAUUCGCUAGUAAUCGCGCAUCAGCCACGGCGCGGUGAAUACGUUCCCGGGCCUUGUACACACCGCCCGUCAAGCCAUGGGNNNNGGNNNNNNCUGAAGUACGUAACCGCAAGGAUCGUCCUAGGGUAAAACUGGUGACUGGGGAUAAGUCGUAACAAGGUAACCA
RNAcentral lists this ribosomal RNA (882 nucleotides) under uncultured bacterium. Its description in RNAcentral is "bacterial SSU rRNA". It matches the Rfam family "Bacterial small subunit ribosomal RNA", at positions 608 to 1502 of the family's 1533-position model. The record is from RNAcentral.